GUUCAGGUGGCAGAGCCUGGUACUGCAAGAGACCUAAAAUCUCUCUACGGAGGUUCAAAUCCUUCCCUCAACU
RNAcentral lists this transfer RNA (73 nucleotides) under Solea solea (common sole). RNAcentral describes it as "tRNA-Leu". It matches the Rfam family "tRNA". Rfam says of the family: Transfer RNA (tRNA) molecules are approximately 80 nucleotides in length. Their secondary structure includes four short double-helical elements and three loops (D, anti-codon, and T loops). Lineage: Eukaryota; Metazoa; Chordata; Actinopteri; Pleuronectiformes; Soleidae. The record is from RNAcentral.